GGCUGGUCCAGAGGUAGUGAGUUCUCUCAAUGGACUGUUCACAAUCAGUUACAAAUUCCUUGUUCUACUCUUUCCUCCUUUUUUACUAUUGCACUUGACUAGUCUUUA
Molecule: Y RNA, 108 nt
Organism: Callithrix jacchus (white-tufted-ear marmoset)
Lineage: Eukaryota; Metazoa; Chordata; Mammalia; Primates; Cebidae
Rfam family: Y RNA
About the family: Y RNAs are components of the Ro ribonucleoprotein particle (Ro RNP), in association with Ro60 and La proteins. The Y RNAs and Ro60 and La proteins are well conserved, but the function of the Ro RNP is not known.
Source: Ensembl